This 671-nucleotide ribosomal RNA is filed under the name Vibrionaceae bacterium GUDS1329. RNAcentral describes it as "bacterial SSU rRNA". It matches the Rfam family "Bacterial small subunit ribosomal RNA", at positions 63 to 718 of the family's 1533-position model. The record is from RNAcentral. Lineage: Bacteria; Pseudomonadati; Pseudomonadota; Gammaproteobacteria; Vibrionales; Vibrionaceae.
CGGAACGAGUUAACUGAACCUUCGGGGAACGUUAACGGCGUCGAGCGGCGGACGGGUGAGUAAUGCCUGGGAAAUUGCCCUGAUGUGGGGGAUAACCAUUGGAAACGAUGGCUAAUACCGCAUAAUAGCUUCGGCUCAAAGAGGGGGACCUUCGGGCCUCUCGCGUCAGGAUAUGCCCAGGUGGGAUUAGCUAGUUGGUGAGGUAAUGGCUCACCAAGGCGACGAUCCCUAGCUGGUCUGAGAGGAUGAUCAGCCACACUGGAACUGAGACACGGUCCAGACUCCUACGGGAGGCAGCAGUGGGGAAUAUUGCACAAUGGGCGCAAGCCUGAUGCAGCCAUGCCGCGUGUGUGAAGAAGGCCUUCGGGUUGUAAAGCACUUUCAGCAGUGAGGAAGGCGGUGUCGUUAAUAGCGGCAUCGUUUGACGUUAGCUGCAGAAGAAGCACCGGCUAACUCCGUGCCAGCAGCCGCGGUAAUACGGAGGGUGCGAGCGUUAAUCGGAAUUACUGGGCGUAAAGCGCAUGCAGGUGGUUAGUUAAGUCAGAUGUGAAAGCCCGGGGCUCAACCUCGGAACUGCAUUUGAAACUGGCUGACUAGAGUACUGUAGAGGGGGGUAGAAUUUCAGGUGUAGCGGUGAAAUGCGUAGAGAUCUGAAGGAAUACCGGUGGCGA